This is a long non-coding RNA of Bactrocera oleae (olive fruit fly), 10107 nucleotides long. RefSeq lists it as uncharacterized. The record is from RefSeq and is a predicted model, not a curated record. NCBI's taxonomy places the organism in Eukaryota, Metazoa, Arthropoda, Insecta, Diptera, Tephritidae.
CUGUCAGUUGGUUUGUGUUGUAUGUUUGUGUUAAGAGCAAUAGCAAUAAUAAUUAUAAUAACAACAACAAUAAUAAUAAUAAUUAUUAUAAUAACAACAACAGUAAUAAUAAUAACAUUAAUAAUAACAACAACAAUAAUAAUAAUAACAUUAAUAAUAACAACAACAGCACAGCAGAAAUAAUAAUAACAAGCAAUAAUAAAAGGAACAAUAAUAGUAAUAAUAACAGAAAUAAUAAAAACAACAAAAACAAUAACAACCAACUAACAACCAAAGACAAUAUUCACGACAACAACAAGAACAGUUUUGUGUUGCACUUACACGCAUUGGUGGCAACUACUUAACAGCAUUUCGAGCUCUCGCCACUGACGGCACUGGCUUUACUGGCGGCUGCUGCUGUUGCUGAUGGCUGACGUCCAAUGGCGGCAACUUGUUAUUUGUACAGCCCAUUGCUUCGACGAGUGCAUCGAUAGUAAUUGAAUGUUGUGACGCUCAGUGCUCUCUAUCGAGUCGCAGUCGUUUGGUUGGCGACAAUUGCCGGCAAAUGCCAAGAUGAUGACGGCGCUUCAGUUGUUGCAGCUGGCGUUAUGUGAACAGAAACUAUGGACGAAAUAAUGAUUCCUCAUCAACAAGCAAGUAACAUAAGGAAGUGUUUGUACGAGGGAAAUAGUUGUAUUUAUAAAACAAAAACAAAAAUAAGCAAAAACGCUAACUUCGGCUACACCAAUAGCGGUGCGAUCUGAACAAUAUGUUCGGAGAUUGAAGUGCGUUACGCAGGUCAAAUAAAAAAGUUUUCCAUACAAAGACUUGAUUUUGAUCGCUAAAAUUGUAUGGCAUCUACAUACAUACAUAUAUGCCAUAUAGGUCCGAUCUGAGCAAUUUAGAAUCGAAGAUUGUACCCUUGCCGUGGGAAAUAAUUCGUGCCAAGUUUUAUGAAGACAUCUCGUCAAAUAAAAAAGUUUUCCAUAGAAGAACAUGAUUUUAAUUGCACAAAAAACUGUUUGGAACCAUUUAAACCACAUAAAAAGAAGCUUGAUAAAGGGUGCUACACGAGUUAAUGCAACGAAGACUCAUGGAUCGAAUUUUCAUUUGUGAAUCGAUCCAUUCUUAAGCAUAACCAAUUGGUGAUAAAAAGUGGCACCUACGACAACGUCUAGCGAAACCUGAAAAAACCGAUCGUACGCAAUGGCGCAGCUACGAAUGACGGUCAAGAAGAUUUUGUUAUGUGUUUGGUGGGAUUGGAAAGGAAUCAUCUUAUAUGAACUUGUAUCCUAUGGUCAAGCUUUUAAUUUGGACCUAUACUAUGAGCAAUUGGACCGUCUGAAGAAAGCGAUCGUCAAGAAGCGGUAAGCUUUGGCCGUUAAUAGAGGAAUUGUUUUCCAUAAGGGCAAUUACCGUUGAAAGCCAAAAAUCUUUAAAAGCCUGUUUUCGAGUUGUACUCGUACUUAAGACUAAACCAGUUAGGUUAGCUACAAAUUUAUAUCAUUAAAAUAUCGUUGCGUUAGAUUAAACAAAUCGGAAAUUAAUGCGCCAAUAUGUAAGUGUGUAAUGAAUUCGGUAUGAUAAAUAUUUAUCGAUUAUUUUCAUUCGAUAAUUAUUCCCAAUUUAAAAUUAUCGAUUAAUGAACGUAUUAUAUACUUAAUCGAUUUUUUUAUUCGAUAACUGAUUCAUAUUGAAAAUUAUCGCUUAUUUCAAACCAAUACUUACAGACUCAUCCGCCUUCAAAAUUAUCGAUUAUUGAGUGUUUUCUUUACAUUUUAGAAGUUAAAUUCAAGUAUACCCGCAAAUUUAUACUUCGGUAACAACAGGGUCUUUUAAAAGGGCAAUUGAGAGCAAAUUAACUUUGUAAUCGAUAAAAUAUUGAUUGCAGAGAACAUUGUGUUUAUUAUUUUAAUUAUUUAUAGUAGAAUGCAAAAAAAAUUAAAUAUUAAAAACAUUUUUUUUUAUUUUUAAAAAAUAUUUAUAAUAAUUUUUGAAUUUAAAAAUAUUAUUUUUCUUUUUUGAAAAUUUAAUUUCAGAAUACAUGCUUAUGUGUAUGUAUAUAUGUAGCUAAGUACCAUCGGAUAUUCAUAAGUUCUAACUCUAUAAAUUUACCAUAUAUUACUUCCGCAAAGAUUUGAAAUAAAACAAGAUUUUAAUAGAACUUUUUAAAUCCCUAAUAUAUGUACCUUUAAUGUAUAUGUACAUAUAUGUGCGCAACUAUAUAAAAGCAAAAAACUUCAUAAAAAAAAUUACUCUGCAUUUCAAAUGAUUUCAGGAAUUUUUCAUAUAAAAUUUAUUUACUAAUUUUUCUCGCAAUCUAAGGGAAGUGUAUUAAAACUAACGCUACGGAAAAUCAAAACGUAAUGAAAACAGAAUUGAAUAAACUUUAGCCCACCGCCAACCAAGGCCAACCUGCUCGCGGCGGUGUCAGCUACAGUGUACUCGUAUCAGCAUUGUCUGAAUCGCCUUCACCUGUGCUGCGCCGUUAUUUGUGCGCGCCAAGCAAAUAUUCUGACAGCAAAAAAUGGAAACAAGAAAUGAAGCAAGAAUGAAAAUAAUUGCAGCCCGAGCGCACCAGCGCCACCAACAGCAGCAACUAAAUAGUAAAAUACUUAUAGAUAUAUACAUAUGUGUGGAAAUAGAUACAAACGCGGUAACAACAAUUGUUGGCGUCGCCAAUGCUUUAGUCACUGUUACUGUAGCGACUGGUUGGUGUUCGUGUCGCUACCAAAACGUUUCGUGUGCACAACACUACUACUCUACUAGUUAGCAGAGACUAGGCAAAGGCUGUGGACGACGACAACUGUGAGCGUGCGUCGUUUUCUCGUUUGCUGCUAAAAAUACACAUUUCAAGUGUAGUACCUAUCUAAGAGCAGUAGAUAAUACACCUAGGAAAGAGGUACUGGCGUGCGGGCCACGAGGUACAUGUGUUGAAGAAUUUCUGCCAGAGCUACGAUCGGCAUUUUUACGCAAUUCAUUAAUUGCGGCGAUGGCAAAUCUUGAGAGGUCUUAAAAUUUCGAACAUCCAUUCCACAUGAUACAAAACGAAGUCUUCUAAGCGGUGCAUGCAGCAUCUUCUAUAACAGUUGAUAUACAAAUAGUUAUAAUGAUGGAUUGGUUUAAACAUCAGCGACGUUAGUUGUUUUCCCCAGGUCAGAUGAAAAAAACAAGUACAUCGUAUGGUCGGGGACAAAUAGUUUCCCCGAAUUUUGUCGUUUCACUUUUAAACGUCAGAUCUAGCAUCAACGAAGUUACGUUCAAUGAGAAGAGGCUAAAGGACUGCCCCAGAAAAGACAAUGGAAUUUCAUUCAUGACUUGCCGGCACAAAAUUGCAUGAGACACCAAGUGAACAACAGCACAAACAAAGACAACAGCAACAACAACAACAAUAGCAUCAACCAAAACCUCCCAGACGCACGAUAAGCAACUUGUGGAAGUGACGCAACGCAUAAAUAAAUAGAAAAUCGUUCGGAAUUCGUGCAAAUGCAAACAGCCGUUGGCAAUGCAACAACAACAAUCACUUAACUUAAAAACGGUAACAUUGAAAAGUUGCACUGUCGCUACGACGAAUGGUUGGCUGAGCAGCGCCGAAAAUCGGGGAAUCACCCUUAUCAGCACACGAGCGACGGCAUUUCCAAACAGCGUCUGCAACAGCAGCAACUAAUCGUGCCAGAGCAACUUGCGAUUCAACACGCAACUUAACAAAAACUUUUAUAUAUUACCGCUGCGGCUAUGUACCUUCGUACCGACAAUGAUUAUAAUUUGGCGACCGUGAACGAUUACGUCGCUCAUAAAUUGCUUGCGCUGCGAAUUGCUCUCUCUUUUGUUACUCAAUAGCGCCAACCAAAAACAUAGAAGUACAAAACACCUGCAUACUGCAAAUUUCUCUAUUAACCCGAUAUUAAUAAGCUUCUAAUGACACUCUCUUGUGUUUCGUCUAUGCAAUUUGUUGUUUUUCUUUUCAACCAGUUAACCAAUCAACAAGUCGUUCGAUUUGAAAAUGAAUGCAAAUUCAUUUCGAGUGUGAUCUCGUGUUAUCUAACUUGUCAACAAAGCGAUAUCCAAAAAAACAAUGUUUCGUCAUAACGGUUCAUUAACCUAUAAGAUAUCUUACAGUUCAUCGAGUAGAAAACUCCUGCAAUCCAGCUUAUAUCUAUCGAAUUGAGAAGGUAUACUAAAUACCGAUUCAAUUGCGUUUAAAUACAUUUUAUGAGCUCACGGAGGGGUUAAAUGACCUGUAUUCCCCUCAAUUUCGGAUAUCACUAACUAGACCAAAUAGAAUAUAUACUGAGUCAGCCUGACUAAGAGUAUGAAUAGAUUUUUUUAUUUUUCUUAAAAUUUGGAAAGAUUAACAUUUGUUUAAAGCCUUUUCUCAAACUUGAAUUCUUUAGCCUGGAGACGUUGUUUUGCAUCGAUUUAUAGCUCAUACUUUACCAGGUUUAGUGUUAAACAAAAUUGAAAAAAUAUAGACAGAUAUUUAAAAAAUAUAUACAUAUGCUUUAUAACAGUAGCCUCACUAGCGAAACAUUCGUAUUUACUGAGGGAUUUUGAGAUUUUUCUCCGUCUUUGUGGAAACUUAACAAAGUUAUGUAAGCUUUAUUUUCUAAGAAGGUCAGUUGGCAUAAAGGGUGUGGCUUACAAAGAUCUCAAGAUAGUCCAAGAAAGUUACUGGCUAUCACAAUACAGAUUAAGCCAAUAUAAAAAAAGCUAAUAUAAUAUAAAUAAAAUCAAACGGUGUGAUACCUUCCCGAAAAAAAAACUUGUCGAUCUGAGAGAGAAUCUGCUCUAUUAGGGAAGUGAUGAGGUGUUACACGGGUUUCCUCGAGCAAAAAACGACACAUUAUUUUAUUUAAACCUUUUAUUAUUCCAAAGAUGCAUAUUUUACAUAUAUUUUGUGAAAUUUUCAAAGGAAAAUAUUCAAAACGCGACCAUUACAACGUCAUUUCCGGUAGACCCUUGGGAAAAAGGUGUAUCCGCAUUGACAGCAGCAGUUAAUCUUAAAAACAAAAAGUGAAAAUUGUACUUUUUUCUAACGUUUUUACAAAAAGUUCAAACAUAUCUCGAUGUUUUUUAUUUAAUAGUUGUAAUUGAAAAAAUAAAAUACUUCGUUUAGGACCUUGUAAGUUAUAUCUCGAAGACCUAUGCAAAAUUUCAUUAAGAUCGGUUAAGUAGUCGCGAGAAAACUUGACAACCGACUUUAAAAACAAAGUAUCGAGCAAAUCGUGUUAAAAGUUUUAAGUGACUAUAUCGCUGACUUCGAGCGCGCAAUUUUCAAGGCUGUAUCUCCAAAACUAUUACUCGGAUGAACUUAAGCACUUGGGACAAUUUUCUAGAGAUAUUAUAAAAUUAAAAAAUAUUAUAUAACAAAAAACUCGAUUUUUUGAAGCCGUGAAACCCAUGUAACCUCUUAUCUAGUCGGGAAAAGAUAAUACCUAUAUGAUAGAAGUAACCAUCAAACCGAAAACGCUCAAAAUGAUUUCACUUCUGCUCGUAUAAAUUUACCAGCAAAAUCAAAACACAGGGAAAGUAUUCAUUAUCAAAUCAUUCGAAGCACCGAGGCUUCUCCUCGAAGUAACUUUCUCCACAAGAUACAACAGAGCGGUUGGGUGAAUUGAAUUUCACCGCUUUUGUAACUCUACCUCCAUGCAUAUCUAUCGCUCGCAGAAAUCAUACAAGGUGCCGAUUUUAUUUUAUUUAUUAUAUUUGAUACAUAUUUUUGUAAAAUAAAAAAAAGAACCUAAAUAGAAAUCAUAACAAAUCAUUUCAACAUUGCGUUUCUUGUUUCUAUAACAUCUAAUGAUUUUUCGAUAUAGAUGCCAGUGUUAAUUAGUAGACAUCAAUCAUCAUCAUCCAAAUAAAAAUUAUUUGGUGUUUUGGGCCGAAACUCUAAUGGAUUGUUUUCAUAAUAUUGAUCCUUCACUGCUCAUUGAUGUUGCCAAUAAAGCUGAUAACCUUAGUCUGAAACCGAGUACCAUUCGUUGCAUGCGUUCUAUUACUGCAAAAAUUGUUGGUCUCUAUGAAUCCGACUUUAUUCAAGAAAAGACCGUCAAAGAAUGUAUUGGACUCCUGAAGAUUACGUGUAGUUUUUUGAAUUUACACAUGUCUAUCCAUUCUUUUCAAUAAGCGCACUAUUUGGGUUAGUAACAUUGGCGUUAGGCAUAUGCUUCCAGUGUUUCCCAACAAUAUUAAUUUAAUUAACCACGACAAAUGAAUCUGUCAAGGUUGAUAGGUAGGUAGCGAGGCUGUCUAACAACACACCUAGCCCUUUAGGAGGCUCACUGUUAUACCACCGGGACUAAAAUCUCCUCACUCUAUUGUCACCACUCUGAACCACUCCGAGCUUCUAAUGAAGUAAAUCGGUACAAAAAGUUAUUUCUGUUAAAUAUCGACAAAUAGCCAGAAGCAUAUAAAUUCCCUCGUUUUCGAAGUCUAAUUGUAGUUCAUCUGCUUCACAGUUACCAGAGACACUGCUAUGACCUGGAACCCUUUGCAGGUUCAUCGUGAAAUAGGAUGUUAGAUCCAAUAAGAGAUCAAAGCACUAUUUCGCUAUCUUUGAUGAAACCUUAAGAGAUUUUAGUGAUUUCAAAGCCGCUGAUAGCCAUGUCAAGGUUACUAUAAACAUUUAAUUUCUCUGACUUCACUUCCAGCACCUUGUGAACUUUCCGAACCGUGCAAUAAUAGCUUUAGAGGCUUGAAUAUUAAUAAAACUAGUAAUUUCAAUGCAAAGCAAUGACAAUCGCGAUUGUGGGAAGCAAGAAAACUUAAAGCACUUAUCUUUGGCGACAAACUGAGUGUUUUUUGACAGAAACUAGUUUUUCACACAGCAUUCAUCAGUCAUUCGGGGUUAGUAUAUAACUUGUGAUUACAAAUUACACGCAAAAUUGAGGUCUUACCACACUUAUACCGGUCUUGAAUGAGUGUCAGAUUUUUUUAGAAGUAUAUCUGUGUCCGAUAUAUCAUUUUUUUCGUACAAUCCAACUAAUAUAAUAUAUGUACACUCGGAAGUGAAUUAUAGAAACUAUUCGAUCUAUCAGAUAUGUAUAUACACAAAUAGCUUUGAAGUCGUUUUCACAACAGAAUCAUAUUAUAUAUUUCUUGAAAUACAAAUAUUGUCGACAUCUAAUAAGAGUUACUUAAUAUAAUUUAAUUUCGACUGAAUUACGCGCGUAGUCAGCAGUAAGUGGGUGAAGAAGCUAACAAACGAAAGCGAAUCAGCGUGCGAAAGAACCUUUUAAGUAAUGACAUCAUGAGUAAGAUUGUGGCAACGGUAAUCAGUAUUGUGCAGCAAUAACAAAUAAGCUCGGACAACCACCAGCUCAACUAUGGUGAAGUCGAGUCAGUGACGACGUAGUCAAUAACGAAAGUCAUUGAAUACAAUUGUAUAUCUAUAUAUAUAUGUAUAUGUAUAAGUAUGUAUGUGUAUAUGUAUGUAUAUGUGUAAAUAUAUUUGAUUGAAGGCAAACGACACCAUAGUAUAAAACAUUUUGACGCUACUGUUUGGCAGUCGUUGGUAGUGAAACGUAAUCCAAGUUACGUGCGUACUCGCAGUAAUAACAAAAAUAUGGACAACAACAAGAAAAAACACAACACCAAGAAAAAACAGAUUGCAUUUAACAGCAUCAUUAGCAACAAUUGUAUACUUGUUACACACAAUAAUCGGCAAUAACGUCCUCCUAACCUCUACAUCAGUUAUUUUUUUUUUUACAAUAAAAAUGUUGGUUUAUUUUUAUUUUAUGACAAACAAUCAGUUUGCAUCAAAGUUACCAACCUAUUCUACUCUACCGCUCCCGCCACCCUUCAAUACAUGUGUGUAUGUACGCCAGCAAUUUUACCAGUUGCUGCAGCACAAUUACGUCAACGAAUACUUUAUGCUUUAACUACCAUAUUUUGAUAACUAACGGUUAACAACGACUCGGCAACUGUACGGCGGACUGGUAACGGUAAUCAUGUAGUUAGGCAGGUGAAAUUCUUCGUUGCAACUGCAGCGCAGGAUGUUGCCACUUUGUUUGGUUUCGUGUAAAAGACGGCAAAGUAGCGAUGAAGAAGAAAAUUCCAAAAAAAAAAAAAAAAGGUAAAGUCGUUGAACUAUUUGAACUCAACUAUGUAUAAUGCUGCCGACAGGCGUUGGGUGUAUCUUAUGUCCAGAUUUUCAAAAAAUGGACUAGACCCAUUGAGAUUUGUAGUUUAUAAAUUCCAAAAAUGCAGGAGUUAUCUGUGCCAAGACAUGCUUUAAAAGUGACCCUAACUAGACCUAAAUGGCUGUCGACUUGAUACCCAGGAAAGGUCACUCUAUGUCAAUGUCGAGAAUCAGGUACUACGGAGUUUCUGGCUCCAUGUCGAAAAACCAGCAGUUUGCACAAGUGACUAUACCAAUAUUGAAAAGGUGCUUUUUGAGCAUGCUAUGUCACUAGUAAUCGAAUUUGUCGCUGCAAAAGAGAACAGUUAAAAUUGAAAUGCUGAAAUGAUGCCAACAAGACAAACAGUAAAAUGCAAAUUGGUAAAUAAUAUGUAAGAGCAACUAUUAGUUAAAAAGCAAGAUUGAUAAGUGCCAACAUUUGGAUUUUUUGUUUUAAAUACUAACUUCAAUCAAUUGCGCAAGAUCUUCCGUAAUUCUAGUAUCAAAUAGUGCUUGCCUUCGUCUGUUAUCACCUAUGUAAGUAAUAUUCUAAAUAAACUGAAAAGUUGCUUAAACUUGCUUAAAUAGCUUAAAUGUAGCAUUCUUCUAUGGAAGUAGGUUGGCAGCCCUGUAACAGCUUAUAAACAGUUGCUAUAAGUUCUCCACUGUUACCGUCCAACUCAACAUCCAUCAACGAAAUUUCCUUCUUUAAUUCCUUUUAAUAAUUUAUUAUCUAAACACUGUUGAUCUGCUUCAAUAUACCGUUAACACAGGGAUGGCAUAGCAGACUCAAUAUUUUCAAACUGUAAAUAAACGCAGCAACAAUAACGUUAAUUGUCAUUGCCGCAGCAACCCUGUGUUGUUGAUUGGAAUGGGCUCAUUUUGUAAAAUGAAAAUAAAUAAAUAGAAAUAAAAAGAAAUAUUGUGUUGCGCUUUACUAUUUUUUCGUAGUUUUUUCUUUGUUUUGCCCUCACUUUGUACAUUCAUUUUAUUUUUUAUUAUGCUGUAUACGAGCCACAGCGCCGAAAAAAAAUGUUUCAAGGCGAAAUGAGCGCUGUGCGGCGCUGUGUCAUCAUCAACUACAAUAACAACAACUACAACAGCAAAACAACAGUCAACAAUGAGAAAACGGAAAAAACAAAAACAAUAGUAAUCAACAAAAAAAAAUAAUAAUAAUAACAGCAACAACAACAAUAAUAAUAGCAGCGAAUGGCAAACGAAAGCACUGCACAGCAAAGCGGCCGCAGAAGAGCUCACUUGUGCGCUUGGGAAACGGAAAACGCAAACGCCGCCAAAUGCCAAACGAGCAAUGUUGGGUUGAGUGGCUGGCUGCCCGACUGGCGCGACGGCUAAAAGUCGCCAGGUACAAGUUAGCCAGCUAAAAACGCUAAAAUUUCAUAGCAACGACCAAUGGCUCUACUGCGGCAGUCGGCAGUACGGGCGCACAACGAACGAACAACAAAUGGCAACAACCAAAUAGUGAGCCAACGAUCCAACACAACAGCAACGUCAACCGUAGCCAAAGGCACCAGCAGUUGGCAAUAAUUUUAUUUUAGCCAAACACGCCGACAUACGGACCCAGCCGCAGAUACCGAUAUAAAACAUACCGUACAACAACAAUUGUUAUAGUCAUAUGUGAGUACAAUAACAGUACAACAACAAAAGUCACACUGCAAACGCGCAGAGACAACAAAAUUCGAAAACGACAGCAGCAAUGGAAACGUCUCGGCACCGAUUGUGACGGCGAAUGCUAAAGCGCUUGAAACGACAACGACGAACAGCGAAAAAUAUCGAACGAUAUAUGCUGAUGCGAACUGUGCGAACGAACUACGUAAUAUCAAAACUUGUCUAUACGACGAUCCUGUAAAAUCGAUCCAUCUUAUUUCCGAGAGACUGCCGGAAAUGACGUCGUAAUGGCGGAGUUUUGAGCAUUUUCCUUUGAGAAAUUCACAAAACCUAUGUAAAAUAUGUAUCUUUGGAAUAAUAAAAAGUUUGAAUAAAAUAUUAAA